This 447-nucleotide unclassified non-coding RNA is filed under the name Hevea brasiliensis (rubber tree). Lineage: Eukaryota; Viridiplantae; Streptophyta; Magnoliopsida; Malpighiales; Euphorbiaceae. The record is from RNAcentral.
CUUUCCUCUAUCUCAUAGAUACUCCUAAGCUGUAAGCUUAAGAAUACAAGUCCAUUUAAGGACUGUGAUACUUAUUUACUUAUAUCCAAUGGAGGGAGUAGGGGGUGAGGGUGCCUUAGCAGCAUCACCUGCAGCCCAAUGGGGACAUGAUGCUUGGAGGAUGUAUCAGUAUUAUCUGGAUAAGACUACACCUCAUACAAUCUAUAGGUGGAUAGGGAGUCUUGUUGUAGCGGCUAUUUACUGUUUGCGGGUUUAUUAUGUUCAAGGGUUUUACAUUGUUUCCUACGGGCUUGGAAUAUAUCUACUGAAUUUGCUUAUUGGGUUUUUGUCACCUUUGGUUGAUCCUGAACUUGAACCUUCGGAUGGGCCUUUGUUGCCCACGAAGGGUUCUGAUGAAUUCAAGCCAUUUAUUCGCCGCCUUCCAGAGUUCAAAUUCUGGUAUUCCUU